Notechis scutatus (mainland tiger snake) is the source of this 99-nucleotide non-coding RNA. The record is from RefSeq and is a predicted model, not a curated record. Lineage: Eukaryota; Metazoa; Chordata; Lepidosauria; Squamata; Elapidae.
CUCAAAAGGCAAACCACAUGAUCCUGGGGCACUGCAACCGUCAUAAAUAUGAGUUAGUUGCCACACAUCCAGAUUUUGAUCCUGUGAUCAUGAAAAAGC